Molecule: non-coding RNA, 913 nt
Organism: Pelobates cultripes (western spadefoot toad)
Lineage: Eukaryota; Metazoa; Chordata; Amphibia; Anura; Pelobatidae
Source: the annotation of a GenBank genome assembly
GGAUCUUGGGGAAUAGGGAACCAGGAGGAAACUAUAAGUUAGACUGGAAUGCCCAAGAAAGAAAAGGAAACCAAAGCUUACUGGUCUGUCCAAGCUUGUCCAAUGAAACACUUCAUGUUAUCUGUUUGAUCUAGAAGUCCCAGUUCCAUAACUGGAUAAUCAAAAUCUUCCUAUUGUUUGGGUGAAGAUCAGGGACUAUGAACCAAUCUGCUUUGUAUUAAAUGUUGACUACUCAAUGCUACAGCUAAACAGACGAAUAUUAAGUUCUAUGCAUAAGUGAAUAGACCUAAGAAAAACUAACAAGCAUAUGCUGGAACAAGAUUUUUCAAACAAGAUGACCUUGUUUGUACAUAAUUGCUACCGAUGUAGAACUAUCUGACCUGGAUAAGAUAAUACCUGGUCUUUAUCUGAAAGGCAGAGAGCUAGCCAGAUAGCCUUCGGUCCUAUGUAGUUGGAUAAGUUUUUACAAAUUAUCUCAGCUAAUUUCCCUUCAACCCUAUGAGAACCUAGCUGAGACCUGAAGCAUCAGUCGUAAAAUUCUGAACGAUUGAUUUGAGAACUAGAACAAAAGGUAAGAACCAUCUGGCAUCCUUUAUUUCUGCCUGGUUCAAAAGGAAUGACCGAAGUAUAGGAUUUUACUGCAAAAUCUUAUCAGCAACUGUAUCUGGCCACUGAAGGACCUGUAAACAGUGUUAUGCCUAAAGAAGCUGAAGAGACCAAGCAGGUUCUUACAAGACGGGAACCAAUAUUAUUUCCCUAGUAUCUUGUCUACUGAAGUAGAAGAGAGAUUUCAGGUGAUAAGGACAGAGAGAACCACACAUUUUUUUCUUCAGGGAAUUACCAUUCUCAGAGUCAAAAACCCUUGUCAAAAUAUUUACACCUGAACUGUUCCUUGACAAACACCAGAACUGCA